UUGCGGUUGGAUCCCCUCCUUUCUAAGGAUUUUUACAUGACGUACGUUUUGACACUUUGUUCAGUUUUGAGAGUUCAAUCUCUCAAUUAUAGAAAGCACACUACUUUCUUCUUAUUUGAUAAGAAGAAUUUUGGUUGCGAUUGUUCUUUGAAAACUAGAUAACAGUAAUUGCUGAGGAAAAGUGAAACUUUUCUUUAAUCAAAUCAAUAAAUAACACAACAUUAUGUUGUACCAUUUAUUCGCUAAUGGUUAAGUUAGAAAGGGCGCACGGUGAAUGCCUUGGCACUAGGAGCCGAUGAAGGACGGGACUAACACCGAUAUGCUUCGGGGAGCUGUAAGUGAGCUUUGAUCCGGAGAUUU
This 360-nucleotide unclassified non-coding RNA is filed under the name Priestia megaterium. Its description in RNAcentral is "Bacillus megaterium partial contains 16S ribosomal RNA, 16S-23S ribosomal RNA intergenic spacer, and 23S ribosomal RNA". The stretch from base 248 to 360 matches the Rfam family "Bacterial large subunit ribosomal RNA", at positions 1 to 113 of the family's 2925-position model. The record is from RNAcentral. Lineage: Bacteria; Bacillati; Bacillota; Bacilli; Caryophanales; Bacillaceae.